CAGAACCUUCUCAUGAAAUUCGCACCGAAUCCAUGGUCCCACCCAUGUGUUAGGUAGUUUCUUCGGAGAGGUUGAUCGUGUUGAUUGAUGUGUCGUGGUUUUAACAAAUUGAUCGAUUGAUUUGCAUGCUUAAUUGAAGAUUGUGUUCCCGAAGUGAUCGUUAAAAUGAGUGGUGCAGGAAAAUGAUUCGCUACAAGGCCAUCAACCUCGAAAAUUUCAGACCAACGAUCGUGCAGCAUAGCGACUAGGAUUCCAGGGCAGAGCAUUCCAGAAGGCGGCGGCUAAAAGUGGCGGCUCUUGUGCGAGGAUUCAUCCAUCUCAACCCAAUCGCUCACCGAAUACACAUUGUGGUAGAUUUAUUUCCGUACAUGCGGACGACAAAGACCCAUCAACAUUGUCACCUGGCGUCACCGUAAUCCCGUGUCAAAAUCGAGAUAGAACAGGAUAGGAACCAGAAAAAAAACAGCAGCUGAAAAAUGAUGGCGGCAUCUUGUCCACCUUUCAA
Aedes aegypti (yellow fever mosquito) is the source of this 505-nucleotide long non-coding RNA. RefSeq lists it as uncharacterized. The record is from RefSeq and is a predicted model, not a curated record. The transcript is spliced from 2 exons. NCBI's taxonomy places the organism in Eukaryota, Metazoa, Arthropoda, Insecta, Diptera, Culicidae.